RNAcentral lists this long non-coding RNA (3417 nucleotides) under Malus domestica (apple). Its description in RNAcentral is "long non-coding RNA (MDOM_LNC017656)". Lineage: Eukaryota; Viridiplantae; Streptophyta; Magnoliopsida; Rosales; Rosaceae. The record is from RNAcentral.
AAGCAGAAAGCAAAAGUAGAAAAAAGGGAAGAAGAUAAAAAGAAGGGCGCAGUCUUCGCCAUGAUCAUCUCGACCCGACCAUUGUUGUAAAGAUAUUUAAGAACCAAGCAUAAUGGAGAAAAUGAUGAGGUUUGUUAUGGGGGAGGCCAUAAUCCACCACUAUCAAGUCUGCCACACUCAAUCAUCAAUUCGCACUCAUGAAAAACAACCACAAAGAUAAGACUCUUAUUUUUACAGCCCAUACCCACUGUUAUUGAUGAAUAUUUUAUUAAGUUGUCUUCUGCAAAUUGGAACAAUUAUUAUAUAGUUAUACUGAUGUGUAAAGAAGGCAGCAUGCCAAAAAAAAGGGCAAAAUGUCGGCAAGCCGAAAAUAGUGGGUUGAAAUGUUAUGUGGAGGGCGAAUGCCCAUAUGCCCAAAAAGAGCUAGGCCCUAUGGCUUCAAACUCCAACCUUAAUCCCUCCGCUUAAGGUUCACCCUCUAUUAUCACCAACCAGGUGAUCAAAAGUACGUAUCAAAAGUACGUCCAAUACUCCAAAAUUAUUCAGCAGUCUGCCGCUAUUAUCACCAACUAGGUGAUCAAAAGUAUGUCUAGUAUUCCAAAAUUAUUCAGCAGCUUGCCGUUAUUAUCACCAACUAGGUGAUCAAAAGUACAGCCCGUCCUCCAAAAAAGCAUACAUGAGCAUCACUCAUAACAAUCAUACAUAAACAUUUAUGAGCAUGACUCAUGUCAAUCAUAACAUAAACAUUUAUGAGCAUCACUCAUGACAAUCACCAUCAUACAUGAGCAUCACUCAUGUCAAUCAUACAUAAACAUUUAUGAGUAUCACUCAUGUCAAUCAUAACAUAAACAUUUAUAAGCAUCACUCAUGUCAAUCAUACAUAAACAUAUUUGGGGCUACAAUGGCGGGCUGAAGAUUUGAGCAUUUCUGAUGUUACAAUUUGAAAGAAAGAUGCUUAUACUUCCGUGUAUGGGAGCAUUUCUGGUGGGAUCAUGGAAGAAAAAAUCGAUAAUAUCGGCGAAAUAUCGCCGAUAUUAUCGUUUUUUUGAAGAUCCGAUAUUUUUUUAACUAUCCAAAUGAUUUUCGUCAAAAUAUCUAGAUAUUAUCGAUAAUAUCGCGAUAUUUUCGAAAUUAUCGAUAAUAUCGUCACAUAAUACUAAAAAAUACUUAAAUAUGUUGAGAAAACUCAACACAUACUUCACUUGAUCAUAGCCCAAAGGGCGAACAAGAUAUGGCUUACUGAGCAGGGGAAUGUGGGUUUUAUAGGACAAAUUGCGAGGGCAGUGAGCAAGCAUGGGCGAUGUGGGACUCUCCCAAUAGGAGAAAAUCAGAAUUUCGGCCGAAAAUUUACACCCACUUUAAACGGCCAUAACUUUGUCAAAACUCAACGAAAUCAAGUAAGACAAAAACGAAAGUUGUAGCCCUCGAAGAGACGAAGAGAAUGGUACCUCACACGACGUCUGAAUCGUCGUGGUUUGGCCGGAAAAUGCCUCGAAAGUCACUGAGAUCGCCGGAAACUGGGUAAGAUUCAAAUGAGUAUAACUUUUUUAAUACUCAACGAAAUUGAGUGAAACAAAAAGGAAAGUUGUACUACUCGACGAGACGAAGAGAUUGAUACCUUGCACGCCGGCCAACUCGCCGUGGUUUGGCCGGAAAUUGCCUCGAAAGCCACUGAGGUCGCCGGAAAUUGGGUAAGAUUCAAAUGAGUAUAACUUUUUCAAUACGCAACGAAAUUGAGUGAAACAAAAAGGAAAGUUGUAGCCCUCGAAGAGACGAAGAGAAUGGUAUCUCACACCAAGGAAGAAAAUAUCGGUAAUAUCGGUAGUCCGAAAACACGGAAAUAUCGAUGGAAAUAUCGGGAUAAUAUCGAUAUCGAUAAAAAUUACAUGGAAACCACGGAAAUUGUAAGAAAAACUUGGAAAUUUUUAAUGAAACUUUGUAGGAUGUUUAUUUAGUCAAUUAUCUAUUAGUUUAUCACAAAAAAUUGGAAGGAAAUACAUUGCAUGAUGGAUUUAACUGAUUUAAAUUGAUUAUAUAGCGAGCUGGCAAACAUUGUGAGUGUAGAAAAUAUGUAGUAAUUAAUGAAAGAAGUUUAAACACACCAUAAUCAUUUAUAUAUAAUUAAUUAGUACAAUAUUUGGAGGUUUUAUUUAGGAUAUUAAAAAAAAAAAGGGAAGUGAAUAAAAUGAUGAAGAAUAAUGUGCCGAAUUUGACACUUUAAAUUUCUUACACAUAAGAAUAAGACUAAACUUUAAUUUGGAUGCCGAUUAUGUUUUUUCAAGUUUAUAUAAAGUAAAAGAAUUGAAUUUUGGAAGCCAGGAGUGUGUCAAUUGAAUUUUGGCCGGCGUGCAAGGUAUCAAUCUCUUCGUCUCGUCGAGUAGUACAACUUUCCUUUUUGUUUCACUCAAUUUCGUUGAGUAUUGAAAAAGUUAUACUCAUUUGAAUCUUACCCAGUUUCCGGCGACCUCAGUAGCUUUCGAGGCAAUUUCCGGCCAAACCACAACGAUUCAGACGUCGUGUGAGGUACCAUUCUCUUCGUCUCUUCGAGGGCUACAACUUUCCUUUUUGUUUCACUCAAUUUCGUUGCGUAUUGAAAAAGUUAUACUCAUUUGAAUCUUACCCAAUUUUCGGCGACCUCAGUGGCUUUCGAGGCAAUUUCUGGCCAAACCACGGCGAGUUGGCUGGCAUGCAAGGUAUCAAUCUCUUCGUCUCGUCGAGUAGUACAACUUUCCUUUUUGUUUCACUCAAUUUCGUUGAGUAUUAAAAAAGUUAUACUCAUUUGAAUCUUACCCAGUUUCCGGCGAUCUCAGUGACUUUCGAGGCAUUUUCCGGCUAAACCACGACGAUUCAGACAUCGUGUGAGGUAUCAUUCUCUUCGUCUCUUCGAGGGCUACAACUUUCGUUUUUGUCUUGCUUGAUUUCGUUGAGUUUUGACAAAGUUAUGGCCGUUUAAAGUGGGUGUAAAUUUUCGGCCGAAAUUCUGAUUUUCUCCUAUUUGGAGAGUCCUACAUCGCCCAUGCUUGCUCACUGCCCUCGCAAUUUGUCCUAUAAAACCCACAUUCCCCUGCUCAGUAAGCCAUAUCUUGUUCGCCCUUUGGGCUAUGAUCAAGUGAAGUAUGUGUUGAGUUUUCUCAACAUAUUUAAGUAUUUUUUAGUAUUAUGUGGCGAUAUUAUCGAUAAUUUUGAAAAUAUCGCGAUAUUAUCGAUAUUAUCGAUAAUAUCCCGAUAUUUUGACGAAAAUCAUUUGGAUAGUUAAAAAAAUAUCGGAUCUCCAAAAAAACGAUAAUAUCGGCGAUAUUUCGCCGAUAUUAUCGAUUUUUUCUUCCAUGCCUCACACGACGUCUGACUCGUUGUGGUUUGGCCGGAAAUUACCUCGAAAGCCACUGAGGUCGCCGGAAACUGGGUAAGAUUCAAAUG